RNAcentral lists this microRNA (24 nucleotides) under Vriesea carinata. RNAcentral describes it as "vca-miR10202a-5p". Lineage: Eukaryota; Viridiplantae; Streptophyta; Magnoliopsida; Poales; Bromeliaceae. The record is from miRBase by way of RNAcentral.
AAUAAUAAUUCGUUGGGCCCAAAC